RNAcentral lists this ribosomal RNA (467 nucleotides) under uncultured bacterium. RNAcentral describes it as "partial 16S ribosomal RNA". It matches the Rfam family "Bacterial small subunit ribosomal RNA", at positions 28 to 506 of the family's 1533-position model. The record is from RNAcentral.
GACGAACGCUGGCGGCGUGCUUAACACAUGCAAGUCGAACGGAAAGGCCCUGCUUUUGUGGGGUGCUCGAGUGGCGAACGGGUGAGUAACACGUGAGUAACCUGUCCUUGACUUUGGGAUAACUUCAGGAAACUGGGGCUAAUACCGGAUAGGAGCUCCUGCUGCAUGGUGGGGGUUGGAAAGUUUCGGCGGUUGGGGAUGGACUCGCGGCUUAUCAGCUUGUUGGUGGGGUAGUGGCUUACCAAGGCUUUGACGGGUAGCCGGCCUGAGAGGGUGACCGGCCACAUUGGGACUGAGAUACGGCCCAGACUCCUACGGGAGGCAGCAGUGGGGAAUAUUGCACAAUGGGCGGAAGCCUGAUGCAGCAACGCCGCGUGCGGGAUGACGGCCUUCGGGUUGUAAACCGCUUUCGCCUGUGACGAAGCGUGAGUGACGGUAAUGGGUAGAGAAACACCGGCUAACUACGU